UCUCUCUUUUUUUCUCUCUCGACUAAAGGCGAUUGGCAUGCGAUUAACCUCAAAUCUGUAGAAAUUAAUCGAUUCACCAUCACCACUUUGUCUGUUCCCGAUAAGAAUGGAAGAGCUUGGUGAACCUUCGAAACAAACUGCGGUUCAUUGUGGUUGAGAUCCUCAUUUACUUCCGCUGAUGGUUGCUGCUAUAUCUGUCCCUGGACCUGAGAAUGUCCCUGGUUCUGCUCUGAACGAGGAGAGUAUGCAGGUUAGGAAAGGUAUCUAAGUUGCCUGGUGGAUUUUAGUUUGCAUUGUUUGCUUGGAAAUAUCCCAGCUCUGUGAUCUUAGUUCUCCUUGGCUCACGCGGCACAUCAUAGAUUCAUAGGAAACAGAGAUAUCAAGCCGCACAACGAUUGUCUGCAAACGAUUGCUCUGUUUUUGCUUUGGUUUGUUAUGUAUCAAGAGACCUGAUUAUUUUCCAAGAACUUGCCGGCGAAGUUACAAGUUCUUGUACACAAGAACUUGGUAAGAGUUUUGGGUUGGUGUAAUAGCAGAAGCUUGAGAGCUUUGGUUACAGAGUGGACUCAAGGAGAAACUGUUGAGACUUGGUUAAGUUCUUCAUCGGCUAUGUGAUGGAGAAGAAGGUUAAGAGUGGUUUUAGGAGUUGUAGAAGGUAUUUGUUAUCUAUCAGAUCAAUGGCCUGAGAUUACAUUUGAUCUCAGCACAAAAGUGUUUUGUUAUCUGAUGAUGAUCAAGAGCCUUUGAUUUUUCAUUUCAAAAUUGGAGAUGGGAACAAUUCAUCAACAAGUAAGGGCUCUCUUCUCCUGAGAAAAAGACCAUUUGAUCAGGUUAAGCAAGCCAUUAAGCUUGGGCUGAUGUGUACUGACAAACCACCAUUAUAGCAACCAACCUUGUUGCAGAUUUAUGACUUGGUGUUUUUUUUGUAUGAAUCUAGUUUAAGAUAUGACUGAGAGAGAUGAGAGUUUAAUCUUUAUUUGCUUUGUUUUCAGUUUUCAGACAUGUUUAAGAUAAUACUUACGAAGGUUUCAGUUUUAUAAUUGAGAACCUAGGAAGGUUUCUCUA
Molecule: long non-coding RNA, 1065 nt
Organism: Camelina sativa (false flax)
Lineage: Eukaryota; Viridiplantae; Streptophyta; Magnoliopsida; Brassicales; Brassicaceae
Source: RefSeq, a predicted model, not a curated record